This 492-nucleotide ribosomal RNA is filed under the name uncultured bacterium. Its description in RNAcentral is "partial 16S ribosomal RNA". It matches the Rfam family "Bacterial small subunit ribosomal RNA", at positions 29 to 507 of the family's 1533-position model. The record is from RNAcentral.
AGUGAACGCUGGCGGUAGGCCUAACACAUGCAAGUCGAACGGCAGCACAGUAAGAGCUUGCUCUUACGGGUGGCGAGUGGCGGACGGGUGAGGAAUACAUCGGAAUCUACUUUUUCGUGGGGGAUAACGUAGGGAAACUUACGCUAAUACCGCAUACGACCUACGGGUGAAAGCAGGGGAUCUUCGGACCUUGCGCGAUUGAAUGAGCCGAUGUCGGAUUAGCUAGUUGGCGGGGUAAAGGCCCACCAAGGCGACGAUCCGUAGCUGGUCUGAGAGGGUGAUCAGCCACACUGGAACUGGGACUCGGUCCAGACUCCUACGGGAGGCAGCGGUGGGGAAUAUUGGACAAUGGGCGCAAGCCUGAUCCAGCCAUACCGCGUGGGUGAAGAAGGCCUUCGGGUUGUAAAGCCCUUUUGUUGGGAAAGAAAAGCAGCAGGUUAAUACCCCGCUGUUCUGACGGUACCCAAAGAAUAAGCACCGGCUAACUUCGUG